GUUCCUAUAGUUAAAGCUCAAUAACAAUGGUUUUUCAGGCCGUAGAUCUUGGAGAGAAACCAAGUAGGAAUU
RNAcentral lists this transfer RNA (72 nucleotides) under Falcunculus frontatus (Eastern shriketit). Its description in RNAcentral is "tRNA-Glu". It matches the Rfam family "tRNA". Rfam says of the family: Transfer RNA (tRNA) molecules are approximately 80 nucleotides in length. Their secondary structure includes four short double-helical elements and three loops (D, anti-codon, and T loops). The record is from RNAcentral. Lineage: Eukaryota; Metazoa; Chordata; Aves; Passeriformes.